GAUGAACGCUGGCGGCGUGCUUAACACAUGCAAGUCGAACGGAGGUCUUAGGAGUGCUUGCACUCAGAAGACUUUAGUGGCGGACGGGUGAGUAACGCGUGGGGAACCUGCCCCGUACCGGGGGAUAACAGCCGGAAACGGCUGCUAAAACCGCAUAAGCGCACAGGAUCGCAUGAUACGGUGUGAAAAACUCCGGUGGUACGGGAUGGACCCGCGUCUGAUUAGCCAGUUGGCAGGGUAACGGCCUACCAAAGCGACGAUCAGUAGCCGGCCUGAGAGGGUGGACGGCCACAUUGGGACUGAGACACGGCCCAA
RNAcentral lists this ribosomal RNA (315 nucleotides) under uncultured bacterium. RNAcentral's name for it is "bacterial SSU rRNA". It matches the Rfam family "Bacterial small subunit ribosomal RNA", at positions 28 to 334 of the family's 1533-position model. The record is from RNAcentral.